GGCAACGUGGCCGAGUGGUCUAAGGCGCUACGUUCAGGUGAAUUCAUCUUCGUAGUCUCGAAAGAGGCGUGUGUUCGAGUCACACCGUUGUCA
Non-coding RNA from Diaporthe ampelina, 93 nucleotides. Lineage: Eukaryota; Fungi; Ascomycota; Sordariomycetes; Diaporthales; Diaporthaceae. The record is from Rfam.